This 403-nucleotide ribosomal RNA is filed under the name uncultured bacterium. RNAcentral describes it as "partial 16S ribosomal RNA". It matches the Rfam family "Bacterial small subunit ribosomal RNA", at positions 28 to 526 of the family's 1533-position model. The record is from RNAcentral.
GACGAACGCUGGCGGCGUGCCUAAUACAUGCAAGUAGAACGCAGUUGGAACGGGUGAGUAACGCGUAGGUAACUUCUUCAUAGCGGGGUUAACUCUUGGAAACGAUAGCUAAACCGAUACUUUGCGAUGGACCUGCGUUGUAUUAGCUAGUUGGUGAGGUAACGGCUCACCAAGGCGACGAUACAUAGCCGACCUGAGAGGGUGAUCAGCCACACUGGAACUGAGACACGGCCCAGACGCCUACGGGAGGCAGCAGUAGGGAAUCUUCGGCAAUGGACGUAAGUCUGACCGAGCAACGCCGCGUGAGUGAAGAAGGUUUUCGGAUCGUAAAACUCUGUUGUUAGGGAAGCGGUAUCUAACCAGAAAGCCACGGCUAACUACGUGCCAGCAGCCGCGGUAAUAC